CUGCCUCUAUGAUGGGGAUAACAGUUGGAAACGACCGCUAAUACCGAAUACGCUCAUGAUGAACUUUAUGAGGAAAGGUGGCCUCUGCUUGCAAGCUAUCGCAUAGAGAUGAGUCCGCGUCCCAUUAGCUAGUUGGUGGGGUAACGGCCUACCAAGGCAACGAUGGGUAGCCGAUCUGAGAGGGUGACCGGCCACAUUGGGACUGAGACACGGCCCAG
RNAcentral lists this ribosomal RNA (218 nucleotides) under uncultured bacterium. RNAcentral describes it as "partial 16S ribosomal RNA". It matches the Rfam family "Bacterial small subunit ribosomal RNA", at positions 126 to 334 of the family's 1533-position model. The record is from RNAcentral.